RNAcentral lists this long non-coding RNA (1298 nucleotides) under Salvator merianae (Argentine black and white tegu). RNAcentral describes it as "lncRNA (ENSSMRG00000011182.1)". Lineage: Eukaryota; Metazoa; Chordata; Lepidosauria; Squamata; Teiidae. The record is from RNAcentral.
GCUGAAUUAACACAAUGUAAUAACAACCUCGCCGAGGAAAUAGAAUUGGUAAACAAACAAGCUAAUCAAGACCAAAUAAUACACAACAAACCUUCAUCUUUGUCUCCACUAAGAGAAAAGCCUGAAGUAGAGAGCCAGCCAGAGCAAACUAAAAGAAAUAUCUACCAUUUAAUGACACCCAUUGCAAAUAAGAGACCUUGUAACAUACUGGAUCAAGGACAGAGCAAGCAUUUUGAAAAUUCCAGACACGGUCAGGAAGAUAUUAUAAAACAAAUUAACACCUGGACUAUAGAGCUGCCUUUGAUUAAGAACUUUCUGGCAGACUGUAAGACCUUACUAACGACACUCUCUGAAAUAACGUUAAAAAUUUUAGGUAUUGUUGAGACCAAUGCUUCUAAAAAGGAAAAUUCCUUAAAAGAUUUAUCCUUAGNGCCAGCCAGGACCAAUCAUCAAACAAGUAGGAAAACCAAGGUGAAGGAACAAAAACUCUCCCAAAACAAAAGCAAAAAUUUAAAAAACAUAAAAAACCAGAGAGGCUCAANGGCUACGAAAACGAACUUCUCCAGACUAUUUGCCANCUUGGAAAAAAAGGAUCAAAUGGACAAUAAAAAACAGCAUGAAAACCAACACAAGAAAUCAAUGUCAUCUGUAAAAAACACCAGAGACAAUUCUACCAUAAACAGUAAUGAAAAAUCACUGGAACAAAACACCAACUAUAAUAUCAAGGAAAUUGGAGAUGUAAAUAAUNACACAAAGCUUCUGGAAAUGANCCUAAAUGUCCACAAUGAGGAAAGGAGCAAAAAAAAUACCUCGGCUCAUCAUCGUAAUCCUGAUUAUAAAUCCUUCAGCCCACCUCCCUUGACAUCAAUAAAAUAUAAAAAAUCUUGGAAUUUAAAACUUAUACCAACAAAGUUGGUCUUUAUAAACUAUCCCAAACCCCAGGGCUUCCUCUCACAAAGAGAACGAAANCAGCAUCUUAUAAAUCUUUUCUAUCGUGCCACCUUAGAAUGGAUUCCAUUUGAAGAGGUUAUAAAGGUGGAAUACCUGUUUUACAACCAUGUAAGGGCAAGAGCCAUAAUAACCUUUGCUUCAGAAGAAACAGCAAGAAAGGUGUUUGGUCUCAAGUACCUCAUGGCUCAUAAGAAAAUUGGUAUCACAAGAUUUUACUGGGACCAGCCCUGUACAUCGGUUAAAUAUACCUACACCAAAGAAGAAGGAAAAACUAGUGGAAAAGAUGAUAAUAUGUCACCAGAGGAGCUAACCCUGAUAACAACUUUCACCAAAUUACCUGCUUCAGA